GAAAUGCGAUAAGUAAUGUGAAUUGCAGAAUUCAGUGAAUCAUCGAAUCUUUGAACGCACAUUGCGCCCGCCAGCAUUCUGGCGGGCAUGCCUGUUCGAGCGUCAUUUCGACCCUCAAGCCCUGCGGCUUGGUGUUGGGGUGUCUGCGGCGGUGCCGCAGGCCCCGAAAUUCAGUGGCGGUCCCGACGAGACCCUAAGCGCAGUACUACUCUCGCUUCUGGCGUCGCGGCGGGCUACCAGCCGUAAAACCCACGGGCGCCCCCGGGCCCCGUACAUUCAAGGUUGACCUCGGAUCAGGUAGGAAUACCCGCUGAACUUAA
RNAcentral lists this unclassified non-coding RNA (320 nucleotides) under uncultured Junewangia. RNAcentral describes it as "sequence contains ITS1". The stretch from base 1 to 105 matches the Rfam family "5.8S ribosomal RNA", at positions 50 to 154 of the family's 154-position model. The record is from RNAcentral. Lineage: Eukaryota; Fungi; Ascomycota; Sordariomycetes.